This 440-nucleotide ribosomal RNA is filed under the name Rhantaticus congestus. RNAcentral describes it as "partial 16S ribosomal RNA". Lineage: Eukaryota; Metazoa; Arthropoda; Insecta; Coleoptera; Dytiscidae. The record is from RNAcentral.
GUCCUUUUGUUUAUAAUUUAAGGUUUAACCUGCCCACUGAAUAGUAUUUUAAAUGGCCGCAGUAAUUUGACUGUGCAAAGGUAGCAUAAUCAUUAGUUUUUUAAUUAAAAGCUUGUAUGAAAGGUUGGACGAGGUAAAUUCUGUCUUUAUUUAAUUUAAAUUAGAAUUUAAUUUUUAAGUUAAAAAGCUUAAAUAUAUUUAAAAGACGAGAAGACCCUAUAGAUCUUAAUAUUAAUUAUAAUAAAUUUAAUUAAGAAUAAUUAAUUUUUUAUUAUAAAAAAUAUUUUAUUGGGGUAAUAAAAAGAUUAAAUAAAUUCUUUUUUUAUUUUUACAUAGAUAAAUGAAUAUUUGAUCCAAUUUUAUUGAUUAAAAGAUUAAGUUACCUUAGGGAUAACAGCGUAAUUUUUUUAGAGAGUUCAUAUCGAUAAAAAAGUUUGCGA